Long non-coding RNA from Culicoides brevitarsis, 562 nucleotides. RefSeq lists it as uncharacterized. The transcript has 3 exons. The record is from RefSeq and is a predicted model, not a curated record. Lineage: Eukaryota; Metazoa; Arthropoda; Insecta; Diptera; Ceratopogonidae.
GUGCUCAUCAAAUUUAUCAGCUUUGUCUACUUAAUUUUUAACAAAAACUCGUCAUUUUUCGUAAUUUUUCAUCAAAAUUCUUUUUAAAAAAGCAAAAAUCCAGAAAAAAAUAAAAUUUUAAGGAAUUUUCAGCCAAAAAAGCGAAUUUUCAUCAAAAAUUCAAGGAAAAACAUCAAAAAGUUCAAUUUUUCAUCAGAAAUUCAACAAAAAAGAAAAAUCCAGAAUGAAAUCCAUCCUCGCCAUCCUCUUGAUCGCUUCCCUUGCCUCAUCGCAAGUCUAUGCCGGACCAUUAGCUGCGGGAAUUUGUUAUGCCGGUUGCGCAGGUGUCGUCGUCGCUUGCUUUGCAGCAGCAGGUGCUACUUUCGGGACAGUUCCUGCAUCGAUAAUUGCCGCAAGUCCCGCACUGGCAGCUUGUAACGCGGCAUUCGCUUCGUGCGAAGCAGCUUGCAUGCUCGCAUUAGCAACUCCAACACCUUGAAAUGGAUCAAAAUUGAGUCACCUGCAGAAAAUAAUGUGAUCAAAACCCGUUUUUUGUGUAAUUCUUUGUUUGUUUUAAGAAAGU